Molecule: ribosomal RNA, 430 nt
Filed under: uncultured archaeon
Lineage: Archaea
Description: bacterial SSU rRNA
Rfam family: Archaeal small subunit ribosomal RNA
Source: RNAcentral
CACCAGCCCCUCGAGUGGUGGGGAUGAUUAUUUGGCCUAAAGCGUCCGUAGCCGGCCGGGUAAGUUUCCCGUUAAAUCCAGCGUCUCAAGCGUUGGACUGCGGGAAAUACUGCCUGGCUAGAGAGUGGGAGAGGUCAGCGGUAUUCUGGGGGUAGGGGCGAAAUCCUUUGAUCCCCGGAGGACCACCAGUGGCGAAGGCUGCUGACUAGAACACGUCUGACGGUCAGGGACGAAAGCUGGGGUAGCGAACCGGAUUAGAUACCCGGGUAGUCCCAGCCGUAAACGAUGCAUGCUAGGUGUUGGGUUGGCCACGAGCCACCCCAGUGCCGCAGGGAAACCGUUAAGCAAUGCCGCCUGGGAAGUACGAUCGCAAGAUUGAAACUUAAAGGAAUUGGCGGGGGAGCACCACCAGGCGUGAAGCCUGCGGUUU